GGUGCGAGACAUGCUUUCUCUCAUAGAUUGUCUGAACGAAGGCGAGGUGGGGCGCCGGUCACCUUCCCCAUCGACGCGUGCGGCCGCCGCCUGACGCUCUACCAGCAGUUGUCGUCCUUCACGGACACGUCGGGGGUCACGGGCGCCGUGGUGUGAGACAGCGGCGUCGUGCUCGCCAAGUUCCUCAAACACGCGGCCGACAGCGGCCUGCUAUUGUGUGCGGCGCGCGCGGUGGACCUCGGCGUUGGGUGCCGGCUCGUGGCCGUCGUGGCGGCGCUGCUCGGAGCGCGCGUCGUGGCCACCGACCUGCCCGACCGCGUCCGGCUGCUCCGGAAGAACCUCGAGGAGAACGUCGGUGGUGGGGAUGGCGGGUCGGCAACGGUGGCGGAGCUAGUGUGGGGCGACGAGUACGAGCUCGACCCCGAGCUGGAGCUCGUGCUGGGGUCGAACGUGGUGUACAGCGAGGAGGUCGUCGGUGACCUGCUAGCCACGCUCACUCGGCUGGUGGGGCCGGGCACCAGCGUGCUGCUCGCCGGCGAGCUCCGCAACGGUGCCAUGGUGGAGUGCUUCUUGGAGGCGGCCAUGGGGGAGUUCGAGAUCGAGUGCGUGGAGCAGGCGCAGUGGCACCCCGACUUCCGCACCAACCACGUCGUCAUCUUCAUCCUCCUCAAGAUUCAAGAAGACACCGCCGCCGCUCCCUGUCUCACUGCCAUAGCUGCUCUGCAGAAGUAA
Molecule: ribosomal RNA, 732 nt
Filed under: Triticum aestivum (bread wheat)
Lineage: Eukaryota; Viridiplantae; Streptophyta; Magnoliopsida; Poales; Poaceae
Description: partial small subunit ribosomal RNA
Source: RNAcentral